RNAcentral lists this ribosomal RNA (156 nucleotides) under Vargamyces aquaticus. RNAcentral's name for it is "5.8S ribosomal RNA". It matches the Rfam family "5.8S ribosomal RNA". Rfam says of the family: 5.8S ribosomal RNA (5.8S rRNA) is a component of the large subunit of the eukaryotic ribosome. It is transcribed by RNA polymerase I as part of the 45S precursor that also contains 18S and 28S rRNA. Functionally, it is thought that 5.8S rRNA may be involved in ribosome translocation. The record is from RNAcentral. Lineage: Eukaryota; Fungi; Ascomycota; Dothideomycetes; Pleosporales; Amniculicolaceae.
AACUUUCAACAACGGAUCUCUUGGUUCUGGCAUCGAUGAAGAACGCAGCGAAAUGCGAUAAGUAGUGUGAAUUGCAGAAUUCAGUGAAUCAUCGAAUCUUUGAACGCACAUUGCGCCCUGUGGUAUUCCGCAGGGCAUGCCUGUUCGAGCGUCAUU